Molecule: ribosomal RNA, 2394 nt
Filed under: Escherichia coli
Lineage: Bacteria; Pseudomonadati; Pseudomonadota; Gammaproteobacteria; Enterobacterales; Enterobacteriaceae
Description: partial 23S ribosomal RNA
Rfam family: Bacterial large subunit ribosomal RNA
Source: RNAcentral
GGGACACGUGGUAUCCUGUCUGAAUAUGGGGGGACCAUCCUCCAAGGCUAAAUACUCCUGACUGACCGAUAGUGAACCAGUACCGUGAGGGAAAGGCGAAAAGAACCCCGGCGAGGGGAGUGAAAAAGAACCUGAAACCGUGUACGUACAAGCAGUGGGAGCACGCUUAGGCGUGUGACUGCGUACCUUUUGUAUAAUGGGUCAGCGACUUAUAUUCUGUAGCAAGGUUAACCGAAUAGGGGAGCCGAAGGGAAACCGAGUCUUAACUGGGCGUUAAGUUGCAGGGUAUAGACCCGAAACCCGGUGAUCUAGCCAUGGGCAGGUUGAAGGUUGGGUAACACUAACUGGAGGACCGAACCGACUAAUGUUGAAAAAUUAGCGGAUGACUUGUGGCUGGGGGUGAAAGGCCAAUCAAACCGGGAGAUAGCUGGUUCUCCCCGAAAGCUAUUUAGGUAGCGCCUCGUGAAUUCAUCUCCGGGGGUAGAGCACUGUUUCGGCAAGGGGGUCAUCCCGACUUACCAACCCGAUGCAAACUGCGAAUACCGGAGAAUGUUAUCACGGGAGACACACGGCGGGUGCUAACGUCCGUCGUGAAGAGGGAAACAACCCAGACCGCCAGCUAAGGUCCCAAAGUCAUGGUUAAGUGGGAAACGAUGUGGGAAGGCCCAGACAGCCAGGAUGUUGGCUUAGAAGCAGCCAUCAUUUAAAGAAAGCGUAAUAGCUCACUGGUCGAGUCGGCCUGCGCGGAAGAUGUAACGGGGCUAAACCAUGCACCGAAGCUGCGGCAGCGACGCUUAUGCGUUGUUGGGUAGGGGAGCGUUCUGUAAGCCUGCGAAGGUGUACUGUGAGGUAUGCUGGAGGUAUCAGAAGUGCGAAUGCUGACAUAAGUAACGAUAAAGCGGGUGAAAAGCCCGCUCGCCGGAAGACCAAGGGUUCCUGUCCAACGUUAAUCGGGGCAGGGUGAGUCGACCCCUAAGGCGAGGCCGAAAGGCGUAGUCGAUGGGAAACAGGUUAAUAUUCCUGUACUUGGUGUUACUGCGAAGGGGGGACGGAGAAGGCUAUGUUGGCCGGGCGACGGUUGUCCCGGUUUAAGCGUGUAGGCUGGUUUUCCAGGCAAAUCCGGAAAAUCAAGGCUGAGGCGUGAUGACGAGGCACUACGGUGCUGAAGCAACAAAUGCCCUGCUUCCAGGAAAAGCCUCUAAGCAUCAGGUAACAUCAAAUCGUACCCCAAACCGACACAGGUGGUCAGGUAGAGAAUACCAAGGCGCUUGAGAGAACUCGGGUGAAGGAACUAGGCAAAAUGGUGCCGUAACUUCGGGAGAAGGCACGCUGAUAUGUAGGUGAAGUCCCUCGCGGAUGGAGCUGAAAUCAGUCGAAGAUACCAGCUGGCUGCAACUGUUUAUUAAAAACACAGCACUGUGCAAACACGAAAGUGGACGUAUACGGUGUGACGCCUGCCCGGUGCCGGAAGGUUAAUUGAUGGGGUUAGCGCAAGCGAAGCUCUUGAUCGAAGCCCCGGUAAACGGCGGCCGUAACUAUAACGGUCCUAAGGUAGCGAAAUUCCUUGUCGGGUAAGUUCCGACCUGCACGAAUGGCGUAAUGAUGGCCAGGCUGUCUCCACCCGAGACUCAGUGAAAUUGAACUCGCUGUGAAGAUGCAGUGUACCCGCGGCAAGACGGAAAGACCCCGUGAACCUUUACUAUAGCUUGACACUGAACAUUGAGCCUUGAUGUGUAGGAUAGGUGGGAGGCUUGGAAGUGUGGACGCCAGUCUGCAUGGAGCCGACCUUGAAAUACCACCCUUUAAUGUUUGAUGUUCUAACGUUGACCCGUGAUCCGGGUUGCGGACAGUGUCUGGUGGGUAGUUUGACUGGGGCGGUCUCCUCCUAAAGAGUAACGGAGGAGCACGAAGGUUGGCUAAUCCUGGUCGGACAUCAGGAGGUUAGUGCAAUGGCAUAAGCCAGCUUGACUGCGAGCGUGACGGCGCGAGCAGGUGCGAAAGCAGGUCAUAGUGAUCCGGUGGUUCUGAAUGGAAGGGCCAUCGCUCAACGGAUAAAAGGUACUCCGGGGAUAACAGGCUGAUACCGCCCAAGAGUUCAUAUCGACGGCGGUGUUUGGCACCUCGAUGUCGGCUCAUCACAUCCUGGGGCUGAAGUAGGUCCCAAGGGUAUGGCUGUUCGCCAUUUAAAGUGGUACGCGAGCUGGGUUUAGAACGUCGUGAGACAGUUCGGUCCCUAUCUGCCGUGGGCGCUGGAGAACUGAGGGGGGCUGCUCCUAGUACGAGAGGACCGGAGUGGACGCAUCACUGGUGUUCGGGUUGUCAUGCCAAUGGCACUGCCCGGUAGCUAAAUGCGGAAGAGAUAAGUGCUGAAAGCAUCUAAGCACGAAACUUGCC